CCUACGGGUGGCAGCAGUGAGGAAUAUUGGUCAAUGGACGAGAGUCUGAACCAGUCAAGUAGCGUGAAGGAUGACUGCCCUAUGGGUUGUAAACUUCUUUUAUAUGGGAAUAAAAUGUUCCACGUGUGGGAUUUUGUAUGUACCAUAUGAAUAAGGAUCGGCUAACUCCGUGCCAGCAGCCGCGGUAAUACGGAGGAGCCGAGCGUUAUCCGGAUUUAUUGGGUUUAAAGGGAGCGUAGGUGGAUUGUUAAGUCAGUUGUGAAAGUUUGCGGCUCAACCGUAAAAUUGCAGUUGAAACUGGCAGUCUUGAGUACAGUAGAGGUGGGCGGAAUUCGUGGUGUAGCGGUGAAAUGCUUAGAUAUCACGAAGAACUCCGAUUGCGAAGGCAGUUCACUGGACUGCAACUGACACUGAGGCUCGAAAGUGUGGGUAUCAAACAGGAUUAGAUACCCUGGUAGUC
RNAcentral lists this ribosomal RNA (460 nucleotides) under uncultured bacterium. RNAcentral describes it as "partial 16S ribosomal RNA". It matches the Rfam family "Bacterial small subunit ribosomal RNA", at positions 338 to 795 of the family's 1533-position model. The record is from RNAcentral.